RNAcentral lists this long non-coding RNA (927 nucleotides) under Homo sapiens (human). RNAcentral describes it as "HSALNT0387039". Lineage: Eukaryota; Metazoa; Chordata; Mammalia; Primates; Hominidae. The record is from RNAcentral.
CCACAGAACUUUGAACAGCCUCCACUCCAAAGCUCUUCCCACUUAGGGGAUUCUGUGUCCCUGCAUCCAGAAAAGGGACAGAUAUAGAAAGGGAGGAUGCGGUCUCACCGGGCCAUAAACAUGCAUUCUAGAGGCUGACGAUUAGAAUUCAUUUGGGAUGGGCCACAGCUUUCAAAAGCAGAAACCAGGUUUUGACCCACUUCUUCUCCAUCCCUCUACUGCUUUCUUUAAAGAUUCAAAAUGAGUCUCAGUGAGGCCUCAGAACGGUCAUCACAGAUAGGAAAUUCUCCAAUAAGGUCAACACGACAAGGACAUCUGCAGUGAUCUUUCUACAUGCUCUGCCAACUUGGCACUCAUCUAUAACUUUAGAAGAGGAGGCAGAACAUCAGUGAUGACUGCAAACAUAUGCUUGAUUUUUUUAAGCAACGGGAAAAUGAAAAAUGAACGGGAGGAGGGAACACUGCUGCCUUCUGAGGACAGAAGUCGUGUUUCAAGUAGUCAGGAGUGAUGGGGAGGUGGGACGAGAAUGAAGAUUUAGGGGAAUCUGAACAAAACAAGGUGGUGUAUGGGGAAUGAGGGCAGUCAGUAAAGCCAAAUAGUACCAGGUGGAAAAAUAGCCUAAAAGAAGUACAAGUCUAAUCAUCCAAAAAUUCUAAAGCAAAACUAAAACUCCAUAGUUCAGCAAAAGACACCCUUUCAGGUGUUUAGAAGACUGUGGUUAUCCGUUUAAAGAUGUUCCUCUCUCAAGGAAUCUCUGAGAACUAUAAAUGUGUUUAUUAAUUUUUAUUCUUUACCUAACUAGUAACCGAAAAUUAUAAACGUAAUCCACACUCACUGAAAAAAAUAAACCAAGCACAGAUUGGUUCAAAGUAAAACAUGACCAUCUUCCUGGCCGGGCACAGUGGCCCACACCUAUAAUCCCAGCAC